Molecule: long non-coding RNA, 1038 nt
Filed under: Hordeum vulgare
Lineage: Eukaryota; Viridiplantae; Streptophyta; Magnoliopsida; Poales; Poaceae
Description: long non-coding RNA (HVUL_LNC016657)
Source: RNAcentral
GGAUCUCGACAAACACACCGCCAAAGAAGAUUACAUCGGAUAGAUCUCCAUGAAGAUCAUGGAGAACUUUGUAUUGAAGAUCCAAGAGAGAGAAGAAGCCAUCUAGCUACUAACUACGGACCCGUAGGUCUGAAGUGAACUACUCACGAGUCAUUGGAGGGGCGAUGAUGAUGAUGAAUAAGCCCUCCACCUCCAAAGUCCCCUCCAGCAAGGUGCCGGGAAGGGUCUCCGGAUGAGAUCUCGCGGAAACGGAAGCUUGCGGCGGCGGAAAAGUUUUUUCGAGGCUCCCCUGAUUUUUUGCGGAAUAUUUGGGAAUAUAUAGGCGCAAGAUCUAGGUCAGGGGGCGACCAGGGUGGCCACAAGCUUGCCCACCGCCGCCUCCCCCUGGUGGCAUGGUGGGAACUUGCGGGCUCCCUGGGGCCCACCUGGCUUGGCCCAAAGGCUCCCUGGUCUUCUUUCGUUCGGAAAAAAAUCAUUUCGGGGUUUUUAUUCCGUUUGGACUUCGUUCCAAAAUCAGAUCUGAAAAGAGUCAAAAACACGGAAAAACAAGAACUGGCACUGGGCACUGAAUUAAUAAGUUAAUCCCAAAAAGAUAUAAAAAGGUACAUAAAACAUACAAAGAAGGCAAGAUAACAGCGUGGAACCAUCAAAAAUUAUAGAUACGUUUGAGACGUAUCAAUCAGCAAAGACUCAAAUAUAUAUCAUAGAUAAUCUGAUCACAAAUCCACAAUUCAUCGGAUCUCGACAAACACACCGCCAAAGAAGAUUACAUCGGAUAGAUCUCCAUGAAGAUCAUGGAGAACUUUGUAUUGAAGAUCCAAGAGAGAGAAGAAGCCAUCUAGCUACUAACUACGGACCCGUAGGUCUGAGGUGAACUACUCACGAGUCAAUGGAGGGGCGAUGAUGAUGAUGAUGAAGAAGCCCUCCAACUCCAAAGUCCCCUCCGGCAGGGUGCCGGGAAGGGUCUCCAGAUGAAAUAUCGCGGAAACGGAAGCUUGCGGCGGCGGAAAAGUAUUUUCGAGGCUCCCGUGAUUUUUU